GACGAACCGAGCGAACGUUGUUCGGAAUCACUGGGCUUAAAGGGCGCGUAGGCGGGUGCUCAAGUCCGUGGUGAAAUCCUCCGGCUCAACCGGAGAACUGCCAUGGAUACUGGGUGUCUCGAGGGUGAUAGGGGUAUGCGGAACUAUCGGUGGAGCGGUGAAAUGCGUUGAUAUCGAUAGGAACUCCGGUGGCGAAGGCGAGGUGCUGGACCCUUUCUGACGCUGAGGCGCGAAAGCCAGGGGAGCGAACGGG
This 253-nucleotide ribosomal RNA is filed under the name uncultured bacterium. RNAcentral describes it as "partial 16S ribosomal RNA". It matches the Rfam family "Bacterial small subunit ribosomal RNA", at positions 524 to 776 of the family's 1533-position model. The record is from RNAcentral.